AGGACGAACGCUGGCGGCGUGCUUAACACAUGCAAGUCGAGCGGUGAUCCUCCUUCGGGAGGUGAUCAGCGGCGAACGGGUGAGUAACACGUGGGCAACCUGCCCCUCACACUGGGAUAACCUCGGGAAACCGGGGCUAAUACCGGAUACGACCUCGAGCGGCAUCUCUUGAGGUGGAAAGCUCCGACGGUGAGGGGUGGGCCCGCGGCCUAUCAGCUUGUUGGUGGGGUAAUGGCCUACCAAGGCGACGACGGGUA
Molecule: ribosomal RNA, 257 nt
Filed under: uncultured bacterium
Lineage: Bacteria
Description: partial small subunit ribosomal RNA
Rfam family: Bacterial small subunit ribosomal RNA
Source: RNAcentral